GCCCAAGUGGCGGAAUUGGCAGACGCGCUAGAUUCAGGUUCUAGUCCGGGCAACCGGGUGGAGGUUCGAGUCCUCUCUUGGGCAC
Molecule: transfer RNA, 85 nt
Filed under: Kolteria novifilia
Lineage: Bacteria; Pseudomonadati; Planctomycetota; Planctomycetia; Kolteriales; Kolteriaceae
Description: Planctomycetes bacterium Pan216 tRNA-Ser
Rfam family: tRNA
About the family: Transfer RNA (tRNA) molecules are approximately 80 nucleotides in length. Their secondary structure includes four short double-helical elements and three loops (D, anti-codon, and T loops). Further hydrogen bonds mediate the characteristic L-shaped molecular structure. tRNAs have two regions of fundamental functional importance: the anti-codon, which is responsible for specific mRNA codon recognition, and the 3' end, to which the tRNAs corresponding amino acid is attached (by aminoacyl-tRNA synthetases). tRNAs cope with the degeneracy of the genetic code in two manners: having more than one tRNA (with a specific anti-codon) for a particular amino acid; and 'wobble' base-pairing, i.e. permitting non-standard base-pairing at the 3rd anti-codon position.
Source: RNAcentral